Molecule: ribosomal RNA, 535 nt
Filed under: Salmonella enterica
Lineage: Bacteria; Pseudomonadati; Pseudomonadota; Gammaproteobacteria; Enterobacterales; Enterobacteriaceae
Also listed under: 1 other name
Description: partial 23S ribosomal RNA
Rfam family: Bacterial large subunit ribosomal RNA
Source: RNAcentral
GUUGGGUAGGGGAGCGUUCUGUAAGCCUGCGAAGGUGGCCUGUGAGGGUUGCUGGAGGUAUCAGAAGUGCGAAUGCUGACAUAAGUAACGAUAAAGCGGGUGAAAAGCCCGCUCGCCGGAAGACCAAGGGUUCCUGUCCAACGUUAAUCGGGGCAGGGUGAGUCGACCCCUAAGGCGAGGCCGAAAGGCGUAGUCGAUGGGAAACGGGUUAAUAUUCCCGUACUUGGUGUUACUGCGAAGGGGGGACGGAGAAGGCUAUGUUGGCCGGGCGACGGUUGUCCCGGUUUAAGCGUGUAGGUGUGUGUUCCAGGUAAAUCCGGUUCACUUUAACACUGAGGCGUGACGACGAGGCACUACGGUGCUGAAGCAACAAAUGCCCUGCUUCCAGGAAAAGCCUCUAAGCAUCAGGUAACAUCAAAUCGUACCCCAAACCGACACAGGUGGUCAGGUAGAGAAUACCAAGGCGCUUGAGAGAACUCGGGUGAAGGAACUAGGCAAAAUGGUGCCGUAACUUCGGGAGAAGGCACGCUGACAC